CCUACGGGAGGCAGCAGUGAGGAAUAUUGGUCAAUGGGCGGAAGCCUGAACCAGCCAAGUAGCGUGCGGGAUGAAGGCCCUACGGGUCGUAAACCGCUUUUGCACGGGGAUAACACCCUCCACUUGUGGAGGUCUGCAGGUACCGUGCGAAUAAGGGCCGGCUAAUUCCGUGCCAGCAGCCGCGGUAAUACGGAGGAUGCGAGCGUUAUCCGGAUUUAUUGGGUUUAAAGGGUGCGCAGGCGGCGAGUUAAGUCAGCGGUAAAAUUUCGGGGCUCAACCCCGACAAGCCGUUGAAACUGGCUUGCUAGAGUGGGCGAGAAGUAUGCGGAAUGCGUGGUGUAGCGGUGAAAUGCUUAGAUAUCACGAAGAACUCCGAUUGCGAAGGCAGCUCACUGGACUGCAACUGACACUGAGGCUCGAAAGUGUGGGUAUCAAAUAGGAUUAGAUACCCGGGUAGUC
Molecule: ribosomal RNA, 459 nt
Filed under: uncultured bacterium
Lineage: Bacteria
Description: partial 16S ribosomal RNA
Rfam family: Bacterial small subunit ribosomal RNA
Source: RNAcentral